RNAcentral lists this ribosomal RNA (1484 nucleotides) under Limosilactobacillus fermentum. RNAcentral's name for it is "bacterial SSU rRNA". It matches the Rfam family "Bacterial small subunit ribosomal RNA". Lineage: Bacteria; Bacillati; Bacillota; Bacilli; Lactobacillales; Lactobacillaceae. The record is from RNAcentral.
GGGCACCGGGGGGGUGCCUAAUACAUGCAGUCGAACGCGUUGGCCCAAUUGAUUGAUGGUGCUUGCACCUGAUUGAUUUUGGUCGCCAACGAGUGGCGGACGGGUGAGUAACACGUAGGUAACCUGCCCAGAAGCGGGGGACAACAUUUGGAAACAGAUGCUAAUACCGCAUAACAGCGUUGUUCGCAUGAACAACGCUUAAAAGAUGGCUUCUCGCUAUCACUUCUGGAUGGACCUGCGGUGCAUUAGCUUGUUGGUGGGGUAAUGGCCUACCAAGGCGAUGAUGCAUAGCCGAGUUGAGAGACUGAUCGGCCACAAUGGGACUGAGACACGGCCCAUACUCCUACGGGAGGCAGCAGUAGGGAAUCUUCCACAAUGGGCGCAAGCCUGAUGGAGCAACACCGCGUGAGUGAAGAAGGGUUUCGGCUCGUAAAGCUCUGUUGUUAAAGAAGAACACGUAUGAGAGUAACUGUUCAUACGUUGACGGUAUUUAACCAGAAAGUCACGGCUAACUACGUGCCAGCAGCCGCGGUAAUACGUAGGUGGCAAGCGUUAUCCGGAUUUAUUGGGCGUAAAGAGAGUGCAGGCGGUUUUCUAAGUCUGAUGUGAAAGCCUUCGGCUUAACCGGAGAAGUGCAUCGGAAACUGGAUAACUUGAGUGCAGAAGAGGGUAGUGGAACUCCAUGUGUAGCGGUGGAAUGCGUAGAUAUAUGGAAGAACACCAGUGGCGAAGGCGGCUACCUGGUCUGCAACUGACGCUGAGACUCGAAAGCAUGGGUAGCGAACAGGAUUAGAUACCCUGGUAGUCCAUGCCGUAAACGAUGAGUGCUAGGUGUUGGAGGGUUUCCGCCCUUCAGUGCCGGAGCUAACGCAUUAAGCACUCCGCCUGGGGAGUACGACCGCAAGGUUGAAACUCAAAGGAAUUGACGGGGGCCCGCACAAGCGGUGGAGCAUGUGGUUUAAUUCGAAGCUACGCGAAGAACCUUACCAGGUCUUGACAUCUUGCGCCAACCCUAGAGAUAGGGCGUUUCCUUCGGGAACGCAAUGACAGGUGGUGCAUGGUCGUCGUCAGCUCGUGUCGUGAGAUGUUGGGUUAAGUCCCGCAACGAGCGCAACCCUUGUUACUAGUUGCCAGCAUUAAGUUGGGCACUCUAGUGAGACUGCCGGUGACAAACCGGAGGAAGGUGGGGACGACGUCAGAUCAUCAUGCCCCUUAUGACCUGGGCUACACACGUGCUACAAUGGACGGUACAACGAGUCGCGAACUCGCGAGGGCAAGCAAAUCUCUUAAAACCGUUCUCAGUUCGGACUGCAGGCUGCAACUCGCCUGCACGAAGUCGGAAUCGCUAGUAAUCGCGGAUCAGCAUGCCGCGGUGAAUACGUUCCCGGGCCUUGUACACACCGCCCGUCACACCAUGAGAGUUUGUAACACCCAAAGUCGGUGGGGUAACCUUUUAGGAGCCAGCCGCGAAGGUGGAACAGGAU